CUUUAAAUCGUUCUGUAUUCGAUCAUUUCAUUUGAUUGUUCGAUGAUAGGUGUGACCUCGUGAUUUUAGAAACUUACGAAAUUCUGUACCAAUUUCGACAGGGUUUCUCGUCUGGCACAGUUAUCUUGAAUGCUGACCAAUCAAACUGAAUCUACUGGAAUUCGGACUAGUUUAUUGAACAAAAAUACGUAAUCCGAACCCCGUACUUCCAACGAAACUGACCAGAAGUCAUUCCGUUACAUCAUUUGGCGCCGUCAACGUGAGCUGGUAUUUACUAGGUGAGAGAAAAUCUGAGUAUUUUUAUCGAUAUGGGAUUAUCAAACACACCAUCGAAUAUGUCAGAGUGGCCGGUAACGAGGAGUAGCGGCUCAACAGCCACAGUCAAAUACUAGGGCUAUCCCAAAGUUUGGUAUGUCACAGCAGCCUUUAGUGGAGUAGCCACCCCAAAAAAGGGGGAUGAUCGAAGUAGGAACGUUUCAUUUUUGUCGACUAGUGCUGGAAGACCACAACAAAGAAGAAAGUCUUUGAACAUUGGUAGUUCAUCAAAUGGGGGCCAGAUACCUAAUUAUUUGUCCGAAAAUCAAAACCAAUAUCCUCGGCGUGAUGAAUAUUCAAAUGGAAUUAAUCAAAAUAUUCGUAGUCCUAGGUUUCAAACUGAAAAUGUAAGGGCGAAAAAUCAAAAUUCGAAUUAGCAGAAAAAUCAAA
Long non-coding RNA from Leptinotarsa decemlineata (Colorado potato beetle), 705 nucleotides. The record is from RefSeq and is a predicted model, not a curated record. Lineage: Eukaryota; Metazoa; Arthropoda; Insecta; Coleoptera; Chrysomelidae.